AUAAAAUCUGCAAACAGAAAAAGGACAGACCUGUUUUCGGAACGAGGCUUUUCGAGUUAUCACUUGGAGAGAGAGGUCCAGUGAGCAACAACGGCCAGAAAUUUCAGGGAGACCAUCUUGAACCAUCCAGCCUCCACCAGGCCAACAGCUGACAGCUGUCACAUGAAUAUGAUCAGCAGAAGAACCACUCAGGCAAGCCAAGCCCAAAUUGCCAAGCCCCCCAAAUAAUAAGCUAAUUGUUUUUUGUUUUAAGCCAUAAACUUUUGAGGUGGUUAUAUAGCAAUAAAUAACUGAAACAGGUGUUUAACUUUCUAGACUUUUUAAAUGACCAUAUUGAUAUAAUUGUAUUGUUCAACCUGUUUUGUAAAGUGAUUUCUCUGAUACAGUAUCUUGAAAAUAUUCCUUAACUAUUUUCUACAACUUUGCAUUUGUCUAUCUUAGUAUUAUAUUACAUGGAUAUGUGGUAACUUAUUUAACUACUAACUUCCCUUUGCAAUUCCUUUUCCUUGCUGUCUAGCUCCCAUGUCUUGACCAACUUUGCAUUCCCCUCCAGGACCUUAUGGGCACAUGGGUUCCUAUCAUUUCACGGGUAUGUAGACUCAGGAAUGUGGCAUUGACUUCUGGGUGGAGUACAGAUGACUGACACCCCCACCCCGAUUCGGA
Molecule: long non-coding RNA, 663 nt
Filed under: Homo sapiens (human)
Lineage: Eukaryota; Metazoa; Chordata; Mammalia; Primates; Hominidae
Description: PREDICTED lncRNA (TCONS_00141709)
Source: RNAcentral